RNAcentral lists this ribosomal RNA (505 nucleotides) under uncultured bacterium. RNAcentral describes it as "bacterial SSU rRNA". It matches the Rfam family "Bacterial small subunit ribosomal RNA", at positions 1005 to 1509 of the family's 1533-position model. The record is from RNAcentral.
GAUGCUUUAGUGCCUUCGGGAACUCUGAGACAGGUGCUGCAUGGCUGUCGUCAGCUCGUGUUGUGAAAUGUUGGGUUAAGUCCCGNAACGAGCGCAACCCUUAUCCUUUGUUGCCAGCACGUAAUGGUGGGAACUCAAAGGAGACUGCCGGUGAUAAACCGGAGGAAGGUGGGGAUGACGUCAAGUCAUCAUGGCCCUUACGAGUAGGGCUACACACGUGCUACAAUGGCGCAUACAAAGAGAAGCGACCUCGCGAGAGCAAGCGGACCUCAUAAAGUGCGUCGUAGUCCGGAUUGGAGUCUGCAACUCGACUCCAUGAAGUCGGAAUCGCUAGUAAUCGUAAAUCAGAAUGUUACGGUGAAUACGUUCCCGGGCCUUGUACACACCGCCCGUCACACCAUGGGAGUGGGUUGCAAAAGAAGUAGAUAGCUUAACCUUCGGGAGGGCGUUUACCACUUUGUGAUUCAUGACUGGGGUGAAGUCGUAACAAGGUAGGCGUAGUGCU